This 254-nucleotide ribosomal RNA is filed under the name uncultured bacterium. RNAcentral's name for it is "partial 16S ribosomal RNA". It matches the Rfam family "Bacterial small subunit ribosomal RNA", at positions 524 to 776 of the family's 1533-position model. The record is from RNAcentral.
UACGAAGGGGGCUAGCGUUGCUCGGAAUCACUGGGCGUAAAGCGCACGUAGGCGGUUUCUUAAGUCAGGGGUGAAAUCCUGGAGCUCAACUCCAGAACUGCCUUUGAUACUGGGAGACUUGGAGUCCGGGAGAGGUGAGUGGAGCUGCGAGUGUAGAGGUGAAAUUCGUAGAUAUUCGGAAGAACACCAGUGGCGAAGGCGGCUCACUGGUCCGGUACUGACGCUGAGGUGCGAAAGCGUGGGGAGCAAACAGG